This is a non-coding RNA of Rattus norvegicus (Norway rat), 2509 nucleotides long. NCBI's taxonomy places the organism in Eukaryota, Metazoa, Chordata, Mammalia, Rodentia, Muridae. The record is from RefSeq and is a predicted model, not a curated record.
UCUGGAGGAAAUUGUCAUCAGAGGACGACUGUUAGUAGGCACAUUCUGUGGGAGAUUGUCUCUAGCACACCAAGUGAGGGAGGAACACACAGCUCACUGUGGUCACCUUUCUCUUCCUGGAGAGUGGAAAAGGCCAGCUAAGAGGCUCCAGGAAUGAAGUGAAACCAGUUUUCAAGGAUAAAGAGCAGAUCCAUGGACAAAAUCAGACUCAUUUAUCCCGUCAGAAGAAGGGCAUGGGCAUGAUGGACGGUCAAAAGGAAUCCAGGUGUGCAGGAUGCUAAACUGAUCGCAUCAAUACCUAAUAUUACUGGAGUCUUGUUGGAAAUAAUGUCCUUGCGAUGUUUAGUUCUGGGGAUUUUAGUUUAACACCUAGAAAUUUAAGUCAAAUAAAUUUCCUUUGCAACAGCUUUGAUUAGGAUAUAUCUGUUGAUCUUCCCUGAUCCACAACGUUUUUCUGAUUUAGAGCCAGAGAAGAAGAAGAGGAGGGGGGAGAGGAGGAGGAAGAAUGAGGAGGAGGAGAAAGAAAAAGAAGAAAAGGAAGAGGAGGAGGGGGAGAAAGAAAAGCAGAGAGAGUUUAAGUCUCAUACAGUGAGAACCCUUUAUUCAUGUGAAAGCACAUUUUUAUUUUCUUCACAGUGAUCAUUUGGAACCAUAAAGCAUGACUGUUUGGAACACAAUUUAAGGUAUUUUGUAGAAAUUUCUUUCUAAAACAAAAAAAAAAAAGCAACAAAGCCAAACUAAGCAUUUUAAAUAUAAUGCAAUCUAAGAUAAAUCUCUACUCAAAUUCCACAAUAAAAAUAAAAUCACUACUUCUUUUUUUAAAAAGCUUUUUUUUUUAAUUUUUUGGUUGGGGGAGGCUCAUUUUGUCACCUAGGCUGGACAUAGAUCACCACCUUUGCCUUAGAUGUCACCUGCAGAAAGUUGUGCUUCCAAGAGUUAACUGUAGAUUUCUAAUUUUAUGUAUCUCAUAGGAUAUAAAAAUAUAUAAGGGAAAAGCUUGUAAUCACUCGUCAACAAAAAUACCAUCUCGUGGCCUUGAACUGCCUUAGAAUCAAUAUUUUCGAGUUUUCAAAUAGGAAGUGGACUUUGCUCAAACAAGGGUACAACUAGUGUGUGUGUGUGUGUGUGUGUGUGUGUGUAUCACAAGGCUCAAGACAGAUCGAGGAUUAUCACAGCCUUGUCACAUAACACUGUAUUUAUUUGCCUAAACAAACCAAGGCUUGCAACUACAGGAGUGUUCACAGCCACAUUGUUAGAAAAAAAAAUAAUUCUCUCUGCCUGGAUUAAGAAAUGGCUGCAAAGAACGCUAUUGGAAGUGAAGAAUGGCAGCUAAUGGGGCGGACAGAGUGGACUCCGCUCUGCAGAACAUGGCCAGCAGGCUUCAGGCACUGCAGCUGGAACGUAAUCGCUGGGCCAGCCAGGAGCCCGACAGAGGCACAUUCACAUCUGAGUUCACUGCUAAUGAGCAGAGCAUGCUCUGUAGUUCAACAAUCACAUUAUUAUCUAAGCAUUAUAUUUGGAACAGAAUGCCUGGUAUCUUUUUAUAGAUUUAUGUUAUUUGCUCCAAGUUCAUACUGAGAAAUGGAGAUUAAGAAGAGAGGGAGGAGAGCCCGACAUGGAGUUAUCAAAAGGAAACUUUGUACUGAGCGAGGGCAUUUGGGAUAGAUAUGAUCAUUAGCAUUUUUAUGAGAUUUUUAGCUUCCUUUCUGACACUGAUAAGAGAUCUGUCUUCUCUUAAAUGUAAUGAUCUGUGUAUUUGCCCUUAUUUGCAAGUUCAGAGUCUCAGGGAAGACAAAUCCGAAUACUGUCCGGUACUGGGGUUUCCUUGGGGUGCUGGGACGAAAACAAAAAGGCAUUCAUGCUUAAGUCGGUGACUUCAUGCAGAAGGAUGCAACAUUAGAAACUGAACUAUUUUAGGUUUAUUUCGUUCUGGGGAAAACCCCCUCUGGUGUUGCUCUGUUUGGGAGUGUGUAGGUGGAAAGGGUUGUGAGCCGUGCAGUCCAGAGCCACCACACUACACAAAUCCUUGGGUGACAGUUCUGGAUGAAAAUGUUUAACACCAUCCCCCCAAGUAUUGCUUAAACUUCGUACUCCUAAAUAAGGAAGGGCGCUUAGUUAUAAUUUUUGCAACUAUUUCAUUGUGUAGCCCAAGCUAGCACGGAACUGGUCCUGUCUGUGUUAGCUCAGGGUAGGCUGGAAUUUGCCUUCUUCUGGCCUUGGCCUCAUUGGAUCUGGGAUUGUGUUUAUGUGCUGCCCCGGUUGGCUGGAUUGUAAGACAUUUACAAUCUUGUCACUGAAAUGUAGUAUUUAAGAGAACUUAAGGACCUUUAGCCUGAAGUCAGAUUCUUCAACCUUUUGACACCUAAACCUACUCUUUGCUAGGUUUGCUGAUGGUGGACAAUUCAAUGUGUGUAUACCCCAGGUUUCUGGCAUGUUUAAUGAGAUUAUGUGUGUAGAGUAAUUGCAGCAGUAGUUAGAGUAUUCUACUACUCAUUAUCACUGAUGUCUC